RNAcentral lists this ribosomal RNA (842 nucleotides) under uncultured Bacteroidota bacterium. RNAcentral's name for it is "bacterial SSU rRNA". It matches the Rfam family "Bacterial small subunit ribosomal RNA", at positions 1 to 843 of the family's 1533-position model. The record is from RNAcentral. Lineage: Bacteria; Pseudomonadati; Bacteroidota.
CCGCGGGAUUAGAGUUUGAUCCUGGCUCAGGAUGAACGCUAGCGGGAGGCCUAACACAUGCAAGCCGAGCGGUAUUUGUCUUUCGGGACAGAGAGAGCGGCGUACGGGUGCGUAACACGUGUGCAACCUACCUUUAUCUGGGGGAUAGCCUUUCGAAAGGAAGAUUAAUACCCCAUAAUAUAAUGAUUGGCAUCAAUUAUUAUUGAAAACUCCGGUGGAUAGAGAUGGGCACGCGCAAGAUUAGAUAGUUGGUGAGGUAACGGCUCACCAAGUCUGUGAUCUUUAGGGGUCCUGAGAGGGAGAUCCCCCACACUGGUACUGAGACACGGACCAGACUCCUACGGGAGGCAGCAGUGAGGAAUAUUGGACAAUGGGUGAAAGCCUGAUCCAGCCAUCCCGCGUGAAGGAUGACGGUCCUAUGGAUUGUAAACUUCUUUUGUACAGGGAUAAACCUAUUCUCGUGAGGGUAGCUGAAGGUACUGUACGAAUAAGCACCGGCUAACUCCGUGCCAGCAGCCGCGGUAAUACGGAGGGUGCAAGCGUUAUCCGGAUUUAUUGGGUUUAAAGGGUCCGUAGGCGGACCUGUAAGUCAGUGGUGAAAUCUCAUAGCUUAACUAUGAAACUGCCAUUGAUACUGCAGGUCUUGAGUAAAUUUGAAGUGGCUGGAAUAAGUAGUGUAGCGGUGAAAUGCAUAGAUAUUACUUAGAACACCAAUUGCGAAGGCAGGUCACUAAGAUUUAACUGACGCUGAUGGACGAAAGCGUGGGUAGCGAACAGGAUUAGAUACCCUGGUAGUCCACGCCGUAAACGAUGCUAACUCGUUUUUGGAUUUUCGGAUUCAG